Molecule: ribosomal RNA, 460 nt
Filed under: uncultured bacterium
Lineage: Bacteria
Description: partial 16S ribosomal RNA
Rfam family: Bacterial small subunit ribosomal RNA
Source: RNAcentral
CCUACGGGUGGCAGCAGUGAGGAAUAUUGGUCAAUGGACGAGAGUCUGAACCAGCCAAGUAGCGUGAAGGAUGACUGCCCUAUGGGUUGUAAACUUCUUUUAUAUGGGAAUAAAACGUUCCACGUGUGGGAUUUUGUAUGUACCAUAUGAAUAAGGAUCGGCUAACUCCGGGCCAGCAGCCGCGGUAAUACGGAGGAUCCGAGCGUUAUCCGGAUUUAUUGGGUUUAAAGGGAGCGUAGGUGGAUUGUUAAGUCAGUUGUGAAAGUUUGCGGCUCAACCGUAAAAUUGCAGUUGAAACUGGCAGUCUUGAGUACAGUAGAGGUGGGCGGAAUUCGUGGUGUAGCGGUGAAAUGCUUAGACAUCACGAAGAACUCCGAUUGCGAAGGCAGUUCACUGGACUGCAACUGACACUGAGGCUCGAAAGUGUGGGUAUCAAACAGGAUUAGAUACCCCUGUAGUC